UGCUACCUACGGGGGGCAGCAGUGGGGAAUAUUGCACAAUGGGGGAAACCCUGAUGCAGCAACGCCGCGUGAGUGAAGAAGUCAUUCGUGAUGUAAAGCUCUAUCAGCAGGGAAGAAAAUGACGGUACCUGAGUAAGAAGCCCCGGCUAACUACGUGCCAGCAGCCGCGGUAAUACGUAGGGGGCAAGCGUUAUCCGGAUUUACUGGGUGUAAAGGGAGUGCAGGCGGGACUGCAAGUUGGAUGUGAAAUACCGCAGCUUAACUGCGGAGCUGCAUCCAAAACUGUAGUUCUUGAGUGG
Molecule: ribosomal RNA, 299 nt
Filed under: uncultured bacterium
Lineage: Bacteria
Description: partial 16S ribosomal RNA
Rfam family: Bacterial small subunit ribosomal RNA
Source: RNAcentral